Non-coding RNA from Brassica napus (rape), 125 nucleotides. NCBI's taxonomy places the organism in Eukaryota, Viridiplantae, Streptophyta, Magnoliopsida, Brassicales, Brassicaceae. The record is from Rfam.
GGAAUAUAAGAACCCGUCUCUUAACUUUUAACUAAAAAAGUUAAGAACCGGUUCUUAAAUCUCUUAUUUAAGAGUCGGUUCUUAGCUUUUUUAGUUAAAAGUUAAGAGAUGAAUUCUUAUAUUUC